Molecule: ribosomal RNA, 495 nt
Filed under: uncultured Pseudomonas sp.
Lineage: Bacteria; Pseudomonadati; Pseudomonadota; Gammaproteobacteria; Pseudomonadales; Pseudomonadaceae
Description: partial 16S ribosomal RNA
Source: RNAcentral
CACAGAGUUAGCCGGUGCUUAUUCUGUCGGUAACGUCAAAACAGCAAAGUAUUAAUUUACUGCCCUUCCUCCCAACUUAAAGUGCUUUACAAUCCGAAGACCUUCUUCACACACGCGGCAUGGCUGGAUCAGGCUUUCGCCCAUUGUCCAAUAUUCCCCAUGCUGCCUCCCGUAGGAGUCUGGACCGUGUCUCAGUUCCAGUGUGACUGAUCAUCCUCUCAGACCAGUUACGGAUCGUCGCCUUGGUGAGCCAUUACCCCACCAACUAGCUAAUCCGACCUAGGCUCAUCUGAUAGCGCAAGGCCCGAAGGUCCCCUGCUUUCUCCCGUAGGACGUAUGCGGUAUUAGCGUCCGUUCCGAACGUUAUCCCCCACUACCAGGCAGACUUCCUAGGCAUUACUCACCCGUCGCCGCUCUCAAGAGAAGCAAGCUUCUCUCUACCGCUCGACUUGCAUGUGUUAGGCCUGCCGCAGCGUUCAAUCUGAGCCAGGACUA